GGAAGCAGAGAUCAGGAAGAUGCUGGAGAAGCUGUGGGACGACGUGGUGGCCGGGCCUCGACCGGAGACCGGCCUGGAGAAGCUCCGCAAGGCCGCUACAACCCGCCCCCUUGUCAUCAACAAAGAUGGCGACGGCGAGGCGAGCGGGGCGGCGUACAAGCGGACGCAGUCGAUGCCGACGACCCCGACGACGCCGGUGACGCCGUCGUCUUCGUCUCCGACGACGACGGCGACGACGACGCCGCGGGGCAGCAACGUGUGGAGGAGCGUGUUCCACCCGGGGAGCAACCUCGCCACCAAGAGCCUCGGCGCCAACCUCUUCGACCGCCCGCAGCCCAACUCCCCCACCGUCUACGACUGGCUGUACAGCGACGAGACCAGGAGCAGCCAUCGCUGAACUAAAUAAUCCCAUUGAUCGGAGGCUGGUCGAUCUCUCUGUCACGCCACGUUUGCUGGUCCUUGUGGUUAUCUAAUACGUAAUUAAUUAUCUAGUAUGUUGCUAUCUUAUCUUGUUACUCUGUUCCUAGUAGCUUGCUGUCUCUGUUAGUACUACCAGAGACCGGUACGUGUCAGCUAGCCUGCUGGCUCCUAUCAAGGGCUAGCGACAACCCAAAGAAGUGUGUUUGUGUGUAAACAUCUUCCAUGUGUAAAUACUGCC
This 658-nucleotide unclassified non-coding RNA is filed under the name Hevea brasiliensis (rubber tree). The record is from RNAcentral. Lineage: Eukaryota; Viridiplantae; Streptophyta; Magnoliopsida; Malpighiales; Euphorbiaceae.